CCUAAUCUUCCUAAGGAACUUUGGAUGACAAAAAGGGAAGCUAAAAAACUUUGUAAAGCCUAGAUGGAAAAAUCUUUUACAUGGCCAAAUUAUGAAUCCUUUAAAUUCAAGAUCUUAAAAGAUUUGAAGUUAGCCAUUAAAAACAAAGAUUCCAAAGAUUAUAAAUACAUGUGGGCACAUCAUGUUGAUAAAUUAACCAUCACCUCAAGAGGUGGAAUCAUUCUUUCUUUGGAACCAGAUCAUUCUGGCUUAACUCCUUCAAUUCCUCCUCCUGGAUCUUUGAUUAGAUCUAACACAAAAUACACCCUAUCAACCCACCUGGGUUGUGAGAAAGUCUCUCCUCAUACUGAUACAAACCAAAACUUGCACCCUUCAGCUCCUCUCCCUGUCAAACCUUGCCCCACUCCUCCCAUCCCUUUCUUCCUAAUCUAUCUCUCUACCCUCCCUUACCAUCGCACUACUCAUUCCCUUGAGUUUCCUCCUUCUCACUACCCAGUGCCGCCCAUCUCCCCUAUCUCCAACUGUACCAUCUCUGCCUGCCUUUUCCUUUUCCCUACCCUCCUUCCCCUGACCAAUUCCACCCAUCUUACUAUGACUCCUCCUCUAGACCUCACCUAUCCUAUUCCUCUCCACCCUGACCCUGGUCCUACCCUCCCUCACCACCCCGCCUCAGCCCCACCUCCAUUCCUCUCCUCCCCACUCCCAACCCCACCACUAAUCCUUUCACCCUGCCUCCUAACCCCCUGACCAGCCCCUGCUCUCAAUUCAUCCACUCAGCUCUUCCCCUACUAUCCUCACUACAACCCACACCAUUGAAAUCCAGAAAACAGGCCAAGCAGCAGUUACCAUAGAUGAUUCAAAUAAAGGCCUUUUCCUUCUAAAGAGAUGAUCCUACUUAUAACAGACAUGGAGACAUAGUAAACAUUAAACACCAUACACAUUUCACUCCACAGGACAUUGAUAGAUUAAAAGAAAAAGUUCCUUCCCUUGAAACUGAGCCC
RNAcentral lists this long non-coding RNA (1001 nucleotides) under Monodelphis domestica (gray short-tailed opossum). Its description in RNAcentral is "lncRNA (ENSMODG00000038560.1)". Lineage: Eukaryota; Metazoa; Chordata; Mammalia; Didelphimorphia; Didelphidae. The record is from RNAcentral.